This 399-nucleotide ribosomal RNA is filed under the name uncultured bacterium. Its description in RNAcentral is "partial 16S ribosomal RNA". The record is from RNAcentral.
GGCGCGGCCUCCGAUGGUGAGUGGGCUGGCGGCCGGAAACACAGCUGCUUGGGCGAUUUGGAUCGUAUUGCGGAUGGCGGCGUUGCGUCGGGCCAGCCGGCCGUACUGCAUGUUGACCACGCGCUCGUACCGGCAAUCGAGACAGACCUCGGCAAUCCGGCCAGGAACCGAGGCGCGGAUUCGGCGUUGCGUCUCCACGAAAUCCAACGCCAACAUUUGCCGGCACUGAGGAACGUUCCGGGCUGUUCACGGUUGACCGCGGACCAGAUGUUCGUCACGAGGUCGGCAAUGCCGAAACGUUCCUCAAGUCCCAGCGCGAAGGCCGCGAGGCGAUAAGGGCGGCGAGCCUGGUGAGAUCUCGCAGGUGCGGCAUGCUGAUGGCCACGGUGUUCUCGUUCG